RNAcentral lists this long non-coding RNA (415 nucleotides) under Elaeis guineensis (African oil palm). RNAcentral describes it as "long non-coding RNA (EGUI_LNC045183)". The record is from RNAcentral. Lineage: Eukaryota; Viridiplantae; Streptophyta; Magnoliopsida; Arecales; Arecaceae.
AGAAGCUAUCUUUUGUCUAGCACUCUCUCUGCAACUUGAUUGAUCUAGUCUCAGUCUGAGUCGAUCCAGUGUCCUGAAUCUGCUAUUCCUCCACAGUCUUCAACCCUAGCUCUGAUUUCUUGCUCUACCUUAUGUCUUCAGGUAUCCAAAGCCUCAACCAAGCCCCUCAAAGUUCUCAUUGCCUGAACCUUGAGCUCAUGGAGAGGUACGCACCGCCUCCACCCUAAGAUCACUCUUAUCCUAGCCCUAGGAUCCAAAUCAGUCCUAAACUCCUAGAGCCAACACCCUGACUCCUCCUAUGGUCUCCUAAGGCUUAGGAGUACCACACCAAUUCUUACAAAUUUGAGUUCAUGAUACAUCCUACAUUAAAGGUUAUAGCGAUUCAGUACGAUCACUACAUGUAUCGAUGAACCAC